GUUUUGUCUGGGGCUCGUCCUGCUACAUUUCUUGGUUCCCUGAACAGGAAGCGAGGUAACUGACGGACGGCCAAGGCAGCCCCUUGGGUGGCUUAGGCCUGCCCUGUGGAGCAUCCCUGCGGUGGACUCUGGCCAGCCUGAGUGACGCGAUCCAAAGAGCGCUCCCGGGUAGGAAAUUCCCCGGGUGGAACGCCUCGCCAGAGCAGCACGUAGCAGGCCCCCGAGGAGGAUUAACACACUGGCUGAACACUGGGAAGGAACUGGCACUUGGAGUCCGGACAUCUGAAACUUGCAACCCACUCUCUGUGCUAUGACUUCAUUACUCUUUCCCAGCCCAGCCCUGGGCAAGCCCCUUACGAAGUCUCAGGCUACCUGGAUGACCACCCUUUCUUAUGAUGCUGCAAGGAGGGCAGGUGGGCAGAGCCCCGUGCAUCCUGGGCUCAGGCCAGGGACCCAAGAGCUUGGGAGAAGCUGGUUCUCAGACUGAAGGCCAGAGCCCAGCACCUUGUCACCAUCCCGGGGAGCAUCAUGGCACACAACAACCAGAGCCAAGGCUACAGCUAGAGAGUUGACUCCUCUAUUUGAGAUUGACAGGCCUCGGAAGUCAAAAUAAGUGGUUUCCUAGACCGGGUCGAGAGCAAGUCUCUAUUGGUCCCAACUGAGUUUUUUCAGCUGGUUUUUCAACCAAACAGCACCUCAUCUCCCAGUGAGGGGAAGGGAAGGCUGGGCUGAGAGCAGCAAGGCUGCUCAUCUCACCUCUCCCCACCCAGCCAUGCCAGCCGCCUCACCUGGUGGGGAGAGGUGGGCCUCACCUGGGUCCCCUGGCAGUGCUCUGUGAAGGGUCUUGACAUUGCACUGUAAUAAUAAAGGUGUGUGUGAAGUAUC
RNAcentral lists this long non-coding RNA (885 nucleotides) under Homo sapiens (human). Its description in RNAcentral is "psoriasis susceptibility 1 candidate 3 (PSORS1C3)". Lineage: Eukaryota; Metazoa; Chordata; Mammalia; Primates; Hominidae. The record is from RNAcentral.